This 434-nucleotide long non-coding RNA is filed under the name Olea europaea (common olive). RNAcentral describes it as "long non-coding RNA (OEUR_LNC014228)". The record is from RNAcentral. Lineage: Eukaryota; Viridiplantae; Streptophyta; Magnoliopsida; Lamiales; Oleaceae.
CAUCAGUUACAUUGGCUACGAUACCAUCAUUUUUUAAGUGACUUCGUAAAAUCAAUCAUAAAUUCAACUAUGCUAUGUGCAAUAAAAUCUUCCUCAACAUCCUUGAAAUCGAGAUCUACAAGAUCAAUUAGGUCCCCGUCAUAUUCCUCAAUCCCCAACAUCUUUUCAGGCAAUUUCUCUUUAUGUUUGGAUUCUUGAACUUGAAGAACUUGGGACUUGCAUUCCUCUCGAUUUUUGUCAGAUUUGGCCUCGUAGGCCAGUAAAUUUGGUUAAACUUGCCCUGGUAGGGUCGGAUUUGAACUUUGUGAGGACAGUACGCGGAGGAUAUGACAGCUGUGUCAACGACGGAGGAGGUGGCAGCAGCUUCAGCGGAGGAGCAAGGCGGAGGAGGAUUGCUGUAAUUACUCAUUUCAAACUGUGAUUGACGCUAAACU